AUUGAACGCUGGCGGAAUGCUUUACACAUGCAAGUCGAACGGUAGAGGGGGCAACCCCUCGAGAGUGGCGAACGGGUGAGUAAUAUAUCGGAACGUGCCCAGUCGUGGGGGAUAACGUAGCGAAAGUUACGCUAAUACCGCAUACGAUCUAAGGAUGAAAGCGGGGGAUCGCAAGACCUCGCGCGAUUGGAGCGGCCGAUAUCAGAUUAGGUAGUUGGUGGGGUAAAGGCUCACCAAGUCAACGAUCUGUAGCUGGUCUGAGAGGACGACCAGCCACACUGGAACUGAGACACGGUCCAGACUCCUACGGGAGGCAGCAGUGGGGAAUUUUGGACAAUGGACGCAAGUCUGAUCCAGCCAUUCCGCGUGCAGGAUGAAGGCCCUCGGGUUGUAAACUGCUUUUGUACGGAACGAAAAGGUCUCUCUUAAUACAGGGGACUCAUGACGGUACCGUAAGAAUAAGCACCGGCUAACUACGUGCCAGCCGCCGCCGUAA
RNAcentral lists this ribosomal RNA (496 nucleotides) under uncultured bacterium. Its description in RNAcentral is "partial 16S ribosomal RNA". It matches the Rfam family "Bacterial small subunit ribosomal RNA", at positions 30 to 523 of the family's 1533-position model. The record is from RNAcentral.